AUUGAACGCUGGCGGCAUGCCUUACACAUGCAAGUCGAACGGCAGCACGGGGCAACCUGGUGGCGAGUGGCGAACGGGUGAGUAAUGCAUCGGAACGUGCCAUUGAGUGGGGGAUAACGUAGCGAAAGUUGCGCUAAUACCGCAUAUUCUGUGAGCAGGAAAGCAGGGGACCGCAAGGCCUUGCGCUCUUUGAGCGGCCGAUGUCAGAUUAGCUAGUUGGUGAGGUAACGGGCUUACCAAGGCGACGAUCUGUAGCGGGUCUGAGAGGAUGAUCCGCCACACUGGAACUGAGACACGGUCCAGACUCCUACGGGAGGCAGCAGUGGGGAAUUUUUGACAAUGGGCGCAAGCCUGAUCCAGCCAUGCCGCGUGAGUAAAGAAGGCCUCGGGUU
This 392-nucleotide ribosomal RNA is filed under the name uncultured bacterium. RNAcentral describes it as "bacterial SSU rRNA". It matches the Rfam family "Bacterial small subunit ribosomal RNA", at positions 30 to 424 of the family's 1533-position model. The record is from RNAcentral.